This 1398-nucleotide ribosomal RNA is filed under the name Agreia sp. RNAcentral describes it as "bacterial SSU rRNA". It matches the Rfam family "Bacterial small subunit ribosomal RNA". The record is from RNAcentral. Lineage: Bacteria; Bacillati; Actinomycetota; Actinomycetes; Micrococcales; Microbacteriaceae.
UGCAAGUCGAACGAUGAUCUCCAGCUUGCUGGGGGGAUUAGUGGCGAACGGGUGAGUAACACGUGAGUAACCUGCCCUUGACUCUGGGAUAAGCGUUGGAAACGACGUCUAAUACCGGAUAUGACGACCGAUGGCAUCAUCUGGUUGUGGAAAGAAUUUUGGUCAAGGAUGGACUCGCGGCCUAUCAGGUAGUUGGUGAGGUAAUGGCUCACCAAGCCUACGACGGGUAGCCGGCCUGAGAGGGUGACCGGCCACACUGGGACUGAGACACGGCCCAGACUCCUACGGGAGGCAGCAGUGGGGAAUAUUGCACAAUGGGCGAAAGCCUGAUGCAGCAACGCCGCGUGAGGGACGACGGCCUUCGGGUUGUAAACCUCUUUUAGUAGGGAAGAAGCGAAGUGUUUUACAUGGAGUGACGGUACCUGCAGAAAAAGCACCGGCUAACUACGUGCCAGCAGCCGCGGUAAUACGUAGGGUGCAAGCGUUGUCCGGAAUUAUUGGGCGUAAAGAGCUCGUAGGCGGUUUGUCGCGUCUGCUGUGAAAACUGGAGGCUCAACCUCCAGCCUGCAGUGGGUACGGGCAGACUAGAGUGCGGUAGGGGAGAUUGGAAUUCCUGGUGUAGCGGUGGAAUGCGCAGAUAUCAGGAGGAACACCGAUGGCGAAGGCAGAUCUCUGGGCCGUAACUGACGCUGAGGAGCGAAAGCAUGGGGAGCGAACAGGAUUAGAUACCCUGGUAGUCCAUGCCGUAAACGUUGGGAACUAGAUGUAGGGGCCAUUCCACGGUUUCUGUGUCGCAGCUAACGCAUUAAGUUCCCCGCCUGGGGAGUACGGCCGCAAGGCUAAAACUCAAAGGAAUUGACGGGGGCCCGCACAAGCGGCGGAGCAUGCGGAUUAAUUCGAUGCAACGCGAAGAACCUUACCAAGACUUGACAUAUACGAGAACGGGCCAGAAAUGGUCAACUCUUUGGACACUCGUAAACAGGUGGUGCAUGGUUGUCGUCAGCUCGUGUCGUGAGAUGUUGGGUUAAGUCCCGCAACGAGCGCAACCCUCGUUCUAUGUUGCCAGCACGUUAUGGUGGGAACUCAUAGGAGACUGCCGGGGUCAACUCGGAGGAAGGUGGGGAUGACGUCAAAUCAUCAUGCCCCUUAUGUCUUGGGCUUCACGCAUGCUACAAUGGCCGGUACAAAGGGCUGCAAUACCGUAAGGUGGAGCGAAUCCCAAAAAGCCGGUCUCAGUUCGGAUUGAGGUCUGCAACUCGACCUCAUGAAGUCGGAGUCGCUAGUAAUCGCAGAUCAGCAACGCUGCGGUGAAUACGUUCCCGGGCCUUGUACACACCGCCCGUCAAGUCAUGAAAGUCGGUAACACCCAACGCCAGUGGCCUAACCCGUGAGGGAGGG